This 1244-nucleotide long non-coding RNA is filed under the name Dromaius novaehollandiae (emu). RNAcentral's name for it is "lncRNA (ENSDNVG00000010821.1)". Lineage: Eukaryota; Metazoa; Chordata; Aves; Casuariiformes; Dromaiidae. The record is from RNAcentral.
GAAAAGAAAACUCUGUCGUGUCUCCAUGUUAAAAUGAGUGGAAAUUGAACUUAGGGCGAUUUAGCAUGUGAUUACUUUUUUUAGACAGGAUUUUCUUCUUAGCUGAAUUGGAUUGUGUCUUUUUUCUCCCAAACCAGAUGUAAAAUUUAUGACACUGGAAGAGGAUGCAAACAGGACUGUAAUCCUACAAAACGGCUGAGUAACUUGGCCGAAUGGAAAGGUCUGAAGCUGAUGGCAUACUGCAUAGUAGGGAAACAGGAUGUGAUGGUGUACAAUCACUGAUUCCUCAUACGAGGAGGUACAAGGAAGAUUGCCCAAGCAGCCUUAUAGCUGUCAUUUCCAAGCAUUUAAGAGCUCUUUUGUAAGUUUGAUGUGCUUUCACCAUAGCAUUUGUCUGAGAAUUACAAUGUUGGAUGCACAGAGUCAUGCUGCUGCUUUGCCGAGAUGGUAAUACUCCACUUUAAACUGUGACCGAUUCCUCUGUUGGUGACUCUGGCUAUAUGCAGCUGGAAUGUGAUUAUUUGAAGCCCUUCUCGGUUCACACCUCAUCUACAGUCACUUCUGUUGAGUCACAUGAGGUUCACAUACAGAGAACCUGGCCCCCUAGCUUGUUUUCCAGCUUUACCAGAGGGAGAAAACCUAGUUCUUAACGUCUUCCACCAGAAAAAAUGUGACAGUCUUCUGCUUCGAUGAAUUGUCAUGGGGGAAAAAAGACACACAUGAGUUUGCAUCACAAAGCACUGUACUGUGUGACCUGUCAAGCUUUUCUCCCCAGUGAAAUUAUCAUUCAGUGGAAGGGUGGCAGAAGAGGGCCCUUAAAGCUAGAACUGCUUUUUUGAAAUGGAUCAGUAGUCAAGUUGGGGUGAUUUACUGUGCCUUUUAYUUGUGUAAUAGAUUACUGUUCUCUUUAUGCAAGGGGAAGUUUUGGAGGAGUUUGUUUCUCUGGCUAUAUGGAUAUUGAUGUUACCAUGCCAGGUGGUAGAAAACUGCAUCUGCAGAAGGACACGUAGUCCUGCUGAAUGCUGCUGCAUGGGCUGGCAGUCCCCGGAUGAUUCUAAUUGCAAUGUUGCCUUGUGACUGUGCCGAAUUAAGAAACAGAGCUGAGCUGAAAUUCCUGGACCGAAGGAUAUCACAGCUACUAGUAACUUCGGUGUUUUUUUCUUGCAUUUGUUUAAAACCAUAACUAAGUCUUUUUGCAUUGUAUGUGGUCAGUGUUUCUGAAAAAGUGCUAUUUCUUAGGUAUC